AUUGAACGCUGGCGGCAGGCUUAACACAUGCAAGUCGAGCGGGGUGAUGGUGCUUGCACUAUCACUUAGCGGCGGACGGGUGAGUAAUGCUUAGGAAUCUGCCUAUUAGUGGGGGACAACAUCUCGAAAGGGAUGCUUAUACCGCAUACGUCCUACGGGAGAAAGCAGGGGAUCACUUGUGACCUUGCGCUAAUCGAUGAGCCUAAGUCGGAUUAGCUAGUUGGUGGGGUAAAGGCCUACCAAGGCGACGAUCUGUAGCGGGUCUGAGAGGAUGAUCCGCCACACUGGGACUGAGAAACGGCCCAGACUCCUACGGGAGGCAGCAGUGGGGAAUAUUGGACAAUGGGGGGAACCCUGAUCCAGCCAUGCCGCGUGUGUGAAGAAGGCCUUAUGGUUGUAAAGCACUUUAAGCGAGGAGGAGGCUCUUUUGGUUAAUACCCAAGAUGAGUGGACGUUACUCGCAGAAUAAGCACCGGCUAACUCUGUGCCAGCCGCCGCCGUAA
This 503-nucleotide ribosomal RNA is filed under the name uncultured bacterium. Its description in RNAcentral is "partial 16S ribosomal RNA". It matches the Rfam family "Bacterial small subunit ribosomal RNA", at positions 30 to 523 of the family's 1533-position model. The record is from RNAcentral.